This 500-nucleotide ribosomal RNA is filed under the name uncultured Glomeromycotina. RNAcentral's name for it is "partial small subunit ribosomal RNA". It matches the Rfam family "Eukaryotic small subunit ribosomal RNA", at positions 591 to 1092 of the family's 1831-position model. The record is from RNAcentral. Lineage: Eukaryota; Fungi; Glomeromycota.
CCAAUAGCGUAUAUUAAAGUUGUUGCAGUUAAAAAGCUCGUAGUUGAAUUUCGGGAUCAGUUCGUCGGUCGUGCCUUUGGUAUGUACUGGUGUUACUGGUUCCUCCCUUCUGACGAACCGUCAUGUCAUUAAUUUGGUGUGGCGGGAAAUCAGGACUGUUACUGUGAAAAAAGUAGAGUGUUUAAAGCAGGCUCGCGCUUGAAUACAUUAGCAUGGAAUAAUUGAAUAGGACGUUCGAUCCUAUUUUGUUGGUUUCUAGGAUUGACGUAAUGAUUAAUAGGGAUAGUUGGGGGCAUUAGUAUUCAAUUGUCAGAGGUGAAAUUCUUGGAUUUAUUGAAGACUAACUACUGCGAAAGCAUUUGCCAAGGAUGUUUUCAUUAAUCAAGAACGAAAGUUAGGGGAUCGAAGACGAUCAGAUACCGUCGUAGUCUUAACCAUAAACUAUGCCGACUAGGGAUCGGAUGAUGUUAAUUUUUUAAUGACUCAUUCGGCGCCUUACG